GCCGGCGCCAUUUUGUGGGCGCCGGGCGAUCCUUCGGGCGGGCUUCCCCUCGGCGGCCGCGGAGCGGUAAGACUCGCCAAAGAUGUCGGAGUAUAUUCGGGUUACGGAAGAUGAGAACGAUGAGCCCAUUGAGAUCCCGUCUGAAGACGAUGGCACCGUGCUCCUCUCCACCGUUACGGCCCAGUUUCCUGGGGCGUGUGGACUGCGCUACAGGAAUCCGGUGUCCCAAUGUAUGAGAGGCGUCCGGCUAGUUGAAGGGAUACUGCACGCCCCUGAUGCCGGCUGGGGGAAUCUGGUGUAUGUUGUCAACUAUCCCAAAGAUAACAAGAGGAAAAUGGAUGAAACAGAUGCCUCGUCUGCAGUUAAAGUGAAAAGGGCAGUACAGAAGACAUCUGAUUUGAUAGUCUUAGGUCUUCCCUGGAAAACUACGGAACAGGACCUAAAAGAAUAUUUUAGUACUUUUGGAGAAGUUCUCAUGGUGCAGGUCAAGAAAGACAUUAAAACUGGCCAUUCAAAGGGAUUUGGUUUUGUUCGCUUCACGGAGUACGAAACACAGGUCAAAGUGAUGUCACAACGACACAUGAUAGAUGGACGAUGGUGUGACUGUAAACUUCCUAAUUCUAAGCAAAGUCCAGAUGAGCCUUUGAGAAGCAGAAAGGUGUUUGUUGGGCGCUGUACAGAAGAUAUGACCGCAGAUGAGUUGCGUCAGUUUUUUUGCCAGUAUGGAGAAGUGGUAGAUGUCUUCAUUCCCAAACCUUUCAGGGCCUUUGCCUUUGUCACAUUUGCAGAUGAUCAGGUUGCGCAGUCUCUUUGUGGCGAGGACUUGAUCAUUAAAGGAAUCAGCGUACAUAUAUCCAAUGCUGAGCCUAAGCACAAUAGCAAUAGACAGUUAGAAAGAAGUGGAAGAUUCGGUGGCAAUCCAGGUGGUUUCGGGAACCAGGGGGGCUUCGGGAACAGUCGGGGAGGGGGAGCCGGGCUGGGGAACAAUCAGGGCAGUAACAUGGGUGGGGGGAUGAACUUUGGUGCUUUUAGCAUCAACCCUGCCAUGAUGGCCGCAGCCCAAGCCGCGCUGCAGAGCAGUUGGGGGAUGAUGGGCAUGCUAGCUAGUCAGCAAAACCAGUCAGGUCCGUCAGGGAGCAACCAGAGCCAAGGCAACAUGCAGAGGGAGCCGAACCAAGCCUUCGGGUCGGGAAACAACUCGUACAGCGGGUCUAACUCCGGCGGCGCGAUUGGCUGGGGGUCCACGUCAAACGCGGGGUCGGGCAGUGGCUUUAACGGAGGCUUUGGCUCCAGUAUGGAUUCCAAGUCCUCGGGCUGGGGGAUGUAGGCACGGUGGGUUCCAGUAGAGACUCUGUGGUGGAAAUGCAAAUUUUUCUAAAACUCCCGGUAAGUAUAUUGUAAAAUACGUAUGAACUGAAAUUUUCCGAAUCGGUUUGUCCUCCAGUGUGCAGUAUAUUCAGCAGUAUUUUUUGACAUUUUUCUUUAGUAUACAAGAGAGAAGGUUAGAGGAAUUUUCUAAGUUUUGUUACCUAAAAAGAUUGAAAUAGGGUGGUUGGAAGUGAACUGCUGUUUGCCUGAUGGGUAAACUAACACUACGCUUGACCUGAAAAGGUUUCCCCUCCUGUUAUGUGUUAUCCCUGGACUAGACAACUGAAAUCUUUGCAUGUUCAGAGCAGAAACCAUCGAUCAGAAUUGCAUUCUUUCUUUGUUUUUAAUUUAAGCCCCUCACCAUAGGAAGUUUUCCUUAGAAAAGUCUCCUUGGAGAACUUGAUGUCACGAGGUGUGUUUUGGUUUUUGGGGGGGUUUUUUUUUGGUUCUUUUAACACUGUCUGCCCCUCAUACUAAAGUACGAUAUGAAGGCUUCAUUUAAUCUCUGCAGUUCAUCUCAUUUCAAAUGUUUGUGGAAGAAGCACUUCAUUGAAAGCAGUGCUGUAAAUAUUCUGCUCUAGGAAUACUUCUGUCUACAUGCUUUCUCAUCCAAGAAUACUUCAUCACACUGCACACGCUGCGUCUCUGACGGAGUUUUUUGUAGCAGAGUUCACCAGGGAGCUCAGUGUGUGUCUCAAAGAAGGGUGGAAGUUCCAAUGUCUGUAAGAUAUCCAUAAGAAUGCUGUUUGCUGCAGUUCCGUGUUCUGUGCUUGGAUGCUUUUUAUAAGAUUUGUCAAUGUAGGAAAUUCUUAAAUAAAACUGAUUUGAGUAAUAUGUGUCUUUGUUUUGCAGCCCUGAAUGCAAAGAAUUCAUAGCAGUUAAUCCCCCUUUUUUUUUUCUUUUGGCCCAUUUGCGAUGGAACUUUGAUAAAGUUUCUGGGCAGCAGUUCAUUUUGCUUCAAGUAAACAUGUUUGAAAAGUUGUUUUUAGCCAAAUGGAUUCAGCUAUCAUACAUUGAUACCUGAUUUCCCAGAUUUAAAUUUGCUAUUGGUUGUUGGCAUUGCCCAAAGUGAGAAGCGUUUUUUUUUUAAAUCCUUUUUUUUUUUUUUAACACGCCUGAGGUAACCUCAAGUGGUAAGCGGUUUCCGCUAAGCUUUUGUCGUGGAGAUAACGAAUCAGUACUCUGCUUUUGUUGCGGAGGUGGCCCAGAAGGCCAGAUUUUAAUUUAAAUUGUGCAGUGUACAAGCAACUGCCCGGAGGACUUGUUGAUCCCGGCAGAGUUUUCCCCGCUAGACCAGGGAGCCCUCCCUCACGACAGGAGACAGGAUGCGUAUGGUUGGCCGAUGCAAUCGUAGCCGAGGCUGCAGCAAGGAAGAUCGGUACACAUUUCCUUUUAAGGUAGGGAUUAGGAAGAUCGGUGCACAUUUCCAAACGAGGCAGGGGGCAGAGCUUCGGCAUCAGGGGGUCUCUGCUGGCUAAGGAAUUUGGACUGAACAGACGCAUUUAAGAGUCACUAAAUCUAAGAUGGAGUUCAGCCGCCAUUGAGCUUCAAGAUGGCAGAUUUUUUGCUUCCACGUUUUUCUCAAUGUCUCUAGACAUUGGGUGUUUUGGGGUUUUUUUUUUUUUUAAUUUUUUUUAAGAAUAUGGCCUUCCUAAGUCUCCAUUUGGGGAGAUUGUUUUUUUCAUUUUAGGCUGUUUUGACUUGGCGGGGGCGGUGGCUAAACCAAGUGGUUGAUGUUAAGAUGCUGUUCACAUGCUUUGUAAUAGCGAAGUAGACCGUCUGAGAAAAAUUGGAAGAUACCUUAAGCUGAGGUGUGAAAAGCGGAAUUAACUGCACUAGGGAUAGAGUAGAAGAAACCACAAGCGAUACUUGGGCCCUGAAACAAAAUAAAUCAGCUAGCAGGGCUAAUGAGCUUCCGACUAGGUUGGAAGUGGUUGCUUUGACUAGAAAAGUGAUACCCAAGGAGUUUUUUUUUACAAAAAAAAAUACUGUUCCCAAAGUAUUUAAUGAGAUUACAUGUAGUACUUAUUAAGAUCUCAUGAAGCUUUUUAAAGUGUGUGAAAGCAGUGCUAUGCUGAUUCCUUAUUGUACUAGAUGUAAUCCUUUAUUGUUAAAUGCAUAGAGUUGGGGAGUAUUCUUUCAUUGUGAAAGAUUGUUGCAUUGUUUGAAUUAAUGUUGCUUGAAUACCCUUAUCCAGUUGUAUUGCAGUAAAUACGUGGGCAUUUUACAGUUUUUUUUUUUUAAACUGGUCAGAUUCUGACACCCCUUACCUUUUAGAAACUCAGCAGUGAUCCUUAAAUUGCUUCAUUAUCCAGGCCCUAUGUAAAAGGAUCUUGACUUGUUUUAAUUUUUUCUGCAUCUAAAUCUGCAUGAUUUCCCAACCCUGUGCCAUCUGAAUUUUGCAUUUUAGCAUUUGCACUAUUACUCAGCAGCAGUAGCAUGGUAACACUUAAAAUGGUAUUCGGGGACCUCCAAAGACUAAACGGGCAAGCCUGCAAGGAAUCCAAUGGUAAGUUAACUUGUCAAAAGCAUGGUUUUAAUCACUUAAACCUACUGUAAAUCCAAAAGGUCUUAGAAAGCUUGAAGUGUUGACUAGCCUUUUUACUUAAACUGUUUUAUGAAACUUAAGAUCUUUGGGAAAUAAUUUACCUUCCAAAAAUUUGAGAUUCAGAAGUGUUGUAAAGCCAUAUUUGGUCUUCUAAAUGCAGUCAAUCUGAAUUAUUUUUGAACUAUUUGAAUAAAAGUUAUUGUUGCUACCACA
Molecule: RNA transcript, 4129 nt
Organism: Tachyglossus aculeatus (Australian echidna)
Lineage: Eukaryota; Metazoa; Chordata; Mammalia; Monotremata; Tachyglossidae
Gene: TARDBP
Gene name: TAR DNA binding protein
Exons: 7
Source: RefSeq, a predicted model, not a curated record